UCAUGGCUCAGGAUGAACGCUGGCGGCGUGCUUAACACAUGCAAGUCGAACGGUGAAGCCAAGCUUGCUUGGUGGAUCAGUGGCGAACGGGUGAGUAACACGUGAGCAACCUGCCCUGGACUCUGGGAUAAGCGCUGGAAACGGCGUCUAAUACUGGAUAUGAGCUGCGAUCGCAUGGUCGUGGUUGGAAAGAUUUUUCGGUCUGGGAUGGGCUCGCGGCCUAUCAGCUUGUUGGUGAGGUAAUGGCUCACCAAGGCGUCGACGGGUAGCCGGCCUGAGAGGGUGACCGGCCACACUGGGACUGAGACACGGCCCAGACUCCUACGGGAGGCAGCAGUGGGGAAUAUUGCACAAUGGGCGCAAGCCUGAUGCAGCAACGCCGCGUGAGGGAUGACGGCCUUCGGGUUGUAAACCUCUUUUAGCAAGGAAGAAGCGAAAGUGACGGUACUUGCAGAAAAAGCGCCGGCUAACUACGUGCCAGCAGCCGCGGUAAUACGUAGGGCGCAAGCGUUAUCCGGAAUUAUUGGGCGUAAAGAGCUCGUAGGCGGUUUGUCGCGUCUGCUGUGAAAUCUGGGGGCUCAACCCCCAGCCUGCAGUGGGUACGGGCAGACUAGAGUGCGGUAGGGGAGAUUGGAAUUCCUGGUGUAGCGGUGGAAUGCGCAGAUAUCAGGAGGAACACCGAUGGCGAAGGCAGAUCUCUGGGCCGUAACUGACGCUGAGGAGCGAAAGGGUGGGGAGCAAACAGGCUUAGAUACCCUGGUAGUCCACCCCGUAAACGUUGGGAACUAGUUGUGGGGUCCAUUCCACGGAUUCCGUGACGCAGCUAACGCAUUAAGUCCCCGCC
Molecule: ribosomal RNA, 844 nt
Filed under: Microbacterium sp. MOLA 1503
Lineage: Bacteria; Bacillati; Actinomycetota; Actinomycetes; Micrococcales; Microbacteriaceae
Also listed under: 1 other name
Description: bacterial SSU rRNA
Rfam family: Bacterial small subunit ribosomal RNA
Source: RNAcentral